Molecule: long non-coding RNA, 260 nt
Filed under: Homo sapiens (human)
Lineage: Eukaryota; Metazoa; Chordata; Mammalia; Primates; Hominidae
Description: HSALNT0263547
Source: RNAcentral
GGGGUUUCGCUGUGUUGGCCGGGCUGCUCUCCAGCUCCUAACCGCGAGUGAUCUGCCAGCCUCGGCAUCCUGAGGUGCCGGGAUUGCAGACGGAGUCUCGUUCACUCAGUGCUCAGUGGUGUCCAGGCUGGAGUGCAGUGGCGUGAUCUCCGCUCGCUACAACCUCCACCUCCCAGCCGCCUGCCUUGGCCUCCCAAAGAGCCGAGAUUGCAGCCUCUGCCCGGCCGCCACCCCGUCUGGGAAGUGAGGAGCGUCUCUGC